UACGGAGGGGUUAGCGUUGUUCGGAAUUACUGGGCGUAAAGCGCACGUAGGCGGAUUGGAAAGUUAGGGGGUGGAAAUCCCAGGGCUCAACCCCUGGAACUGCCUCCAAAACUACCCAGUCUGGAGUUCGAGAGAGGUGAGUGGAAUUCCGAGUGUAGAGGUGAAAUUCGUAGAUAUUCGGAGGAACACCAGUGGCGAAGGCGGCUCACUGGCUCGAUACUGACGCUGAGGUGCGAAAGUGUGGGGAGCAAACAGGAUUAGAUACCCGCGUAGU
RNAcentral lists this ribosomal RNA (274 nucleotides) under uncultured bacterium. RNAcentral describes it as "partial 16S ribosomal RNA". It matches the Rfam family "Bacterial small subunit ribosomal RNA", at positions 524 to 794 of the family's 1533-position model. The record is from RNAcentral.